RNAcentral lists this long non-coding RNA (319 nucleotides) under Coffea arabica (coffee). RNAcentral describes it as "long non-coding RNA (CARA_LNC002197)". The record is from RNAcentral. Lineage: Eukaryota; Viridiplantae; Streptophyta; Magnoliopsida; Gentianales; Rubiaceae.
CCUUUCUCUUUUCCCUCCCCUUUCCUACCAUACCCCACCCCUCCCUUUUCCUCCCAAAUCUAGCAUCGGCCAAAGGCUAUAAUUUGGCUGUGAUGUCGUGACUAGAGGCCUUGAUCUGGCCUUGGCUAGAUAGUGAGAGGGAGGAGGAAGGUGGGGGGUGAGGUGUGGUGGGGAAAGGGAGGGGAAGGGGAAGGGAGGAGGGGAGGAAAGAAAGGGAGGAGGAAGAUGGGAAGAGGAUGAAGAAAGAGAGGGAGGAAGAAGAGGGUGGGGGAGAUGGGAGGAGGAGGAAGAAAGAGGGGGAGGAGAAAGGAGGUGGUGG